Molecule: long non-coding RNA, 807 nt
Organism: Carassius gibelio (silver crucian carp)
Lineage: Eukaryota; Metazoa; Chordata; Actinopteri; Cypriniformes; Cyprinidae
Exons: 2
Source: RefSeq, a predicted model, not a curated record
GCUCCUUCCACUGCAUGUGAACUGUAUACUUGCCUGAAACAUCCAUUCUGUCUGUCUCAGAAGAAGCCCCAUUCAGCCUGUUGACUUCGAGCCUGCUGUAUCCCUGCUACUCAUCUGUAUGAGGAAGCCCCAUUCAGCCUGUUGACUUCGAGUCUGCUGUAUCCCUGCUAUUCAUCCGUAUUUAGAAACCCUGCACAGCCUGUUGACUUAGAGUUUGUUGCAUCCUUGUGGCCCACCUGUGCUGAGAGAGGUGACUGUCCUUUGUCACGAACGUGAGAGGGGCACGCUUUGUCUGGAAUAUCCACUCUGACGGUGUCAGGAGAAGCCACCUUACUGUAAGACCGUGCACCUGCCGUAUACGUACUUGACUGAUAUCAUUCGCCUCAAAUUCCGUACCUGUGGAAGAAGGAAGGAAGGCUGGAAUUACAUACUUACGGGAGGAGACUUACCGGACCCCUCACUUGCCAAACACAUCCCCACCUCAAGGCUGUGUAUCUGCCGUGUACGGACCUGACCGAUAUCCAUCCGUCCCAAAUUCUGCAUCUGUGAAGAAGGGAAGGGAGUUUGGAAGUAUUUAAUUACCAGAGGAGACUUACCAGACUGCGGGCUUGCCGAUUGUAUUCCCACCUGUGAAAUACCUACUUGACCACCCAUCUGUCCAUCUAUUGCGGGGCCCGCACAGAGGAAGAGGGCGGGAGAGUCCCCGGUCGCUGCAUUGUUUACCUUCAAGCCCUGAGGGUAACAAAGAAGAUUUUAGUUUAGGAUUCCCAAUUUGUUUUUACUUCAAAAUAAAACUUGUUAAAUUUA